CAGCUCUCCGAGUGGUGGGGAUGUUUAUUGGGCCUAAAGCAUUCGUAGCCUGCUUGGCAAGUCCUCCGUUAAAUCCAACGAUUCAAUCGUUGGGCUGCGGGGGAUACUGUCCGGCUAGGGGGCGGGAGAGGCCGACGGUAUCCCCGGGGUAGGGGUGAAAUCCUAUAAUCCCGGGAGGACCACCAGUGGCGAAGGCUGUCGGCUAGAACGUGCUCGACGGUGAGGGAUGAAAGCUGGGGGAGCGAACCGGAUUAGAUACCCGGGUAGUCCCAGCUGUAAACGAUGCAGGCUAGGUGUUGGCGCGGCUACGUGCCGCUCCAGUGCCGCAGGGAAGCCGUUAAGCCUGCCGCCUGGGAAGUACGGCCGCAAGGCUGAAACUUAAAGGAAUUGGCGGGGGAGCACCACAAGGUGUGAAGCUUGCGGUUUAAUUGGAGUCAACGCCGGAAAUCUCACCGGGGGCGACAGCAGAAUGAAGGUCAGAUUGAAGGUCUUACCAGACAAGCUGAGAGGAGGUGCAUGGCCGUCGCCAGUUCGUGCCGUGAGGUGUCCUGUUAAGUCAGGCAACGAUCGAGACCCGCGUCCCCUGUUGCCACCGGCCUUGAGCCGAGCACACUGGGGAGACUGCCGUCGAUAAGGCGGAGGAAGGAGCGGGCCACGGCAGGUCAGUAUGCCCCGAAUCCCCCGGGCUACACGCGAGCUGCAAUGGCAGGUACAGAGGGUCCCGACUCUGAAAAGAGAAGGAAAUCCCGAAAGCCUGCCGUAGUUGGGAUCGAGGGUUGUAACUCACCCUCGUGAACAUGGAAUACCUAGUAACCGCGUGUCACUACCGCGCGGUGAAUACGUCCCUGCUCCUU
This 854-nucleotide ribosomal RNA is filed under the name uncultured microorganism. RNAcentral describes it as "bacterial SSU rRNA". It matches the Rfam family "Archaeal small subunit ribosomal RNA", at positions 477 to 1338 of the family's 1478-position model. The record is from RNAcentral.